GGCUCCAGACCAGUAGGUGGAGUGCCCAGGGCACAAUGUCCAGGAAUCACAUUGGCCAGGUCCAUCAUGUCCAUUCACCCUAAGCUGCAGAAUGACACAUGACUAGAGGCCCUGCAUAGAGCCAAGUUCAAAUUCCCCCACUACCAAAAGAUCCAUAUCUCAAAGAAGUGGGGCUUACAGAUAAAUUUAAAGAUGUGAUAGCUAGGAAGCAGCCCAUCGCUGAUAGCUGGGGUCAAAUUUUUCCCCAACUAGGGC
Molecule: long non-coding RNA, 255 nt
Filed under: Mus musculus (house mouse)
Lineage: Eukaryota; Metazoa; Chordata; Mammalia; Rodentia; Muridae
Description: long non-coding RNA chr4:62939520-62939775
Source: RNAcentral